UUGAAAACUGUAGUGACCUAAUCUCAUCUCAGACAUAGAUAUGAGAACAUUUCAGAACCAGAGACAGGAUGUUUUUUUCUGAAAUUGGUUUCCUCAGCAUUCCUUUUGUAAGCUCUUCAAUUUCACAUUUUACAGUUUAUGCCCUUAAAAAAAAAGGUUAUCAUCUGGGAAGAAAAGAAGCCUGGCCCUUCCCUAAUUCAGUUUGGGCUGGGCCGCGACAAGGACUUAGUCCCUGUCAUGGAUGUCUGCUAACGUGAAAAUGAUGAGGCUUCCAGCCUUUUGGUGACUGUCUUGUAGGAAUUCUGAAGUUUUCUUCAUUACAGACAAGGCCUCCUCGAGACCCAGAUACCAAGUUUCAGCUACUGAGUUUUCAAGAGUGGAAUUGGAUUUAUGCUCUGUAUGUUUCAAACUAAAGCAAAUUGAUAGAUGAUUAAAAAAAAGCACUACUUCUUUUUGCUUUCUGAAUUUUCAAGUGUUUGAUAAGUGCAGAGAGGUCUUUUAUUGCAUAUCUAGUAGUAAUUCAUAGCCAAAACCCCCUGGGCCUUUGUGUAUUAUGGUCCACUAGCCCUGAAAUUCAGCUGUCCCUAUUGAAAGAUAAUUGGCCCUUAAGCAACCUUCACCCCAUUCUCAAAUCCUCUGCUCAAUAAAUAUUUAAUUGAUUGCUGAUGGCAAUUAGAAAA
Phascolarctos cinereus (koala) is the source of this 680-nucleotide non-coding RNA. NCBI's taxonomy places the organism in Eukaryota, Metazoa, Chordata, Mammalia, Diprotodontia, Phascolarctidae. The record is from RefSeq and is a predicted model, not a curated record.